This 666-nucleotide ribosomal RNA is filed under the name uncultured soil bacterium. RNAcentral describes it as "bacterial SSU rRNA". It matches the Rfam family "Bacterial small subunit ribosomal RNA", at positions 719 to 1382 of the family's 1533-position model. The record is from RNAcentral.
AGGCAGGUCUCUGGGCUGUAACUGACGCUGAGGAGCGAAAGCAUGGGGAGCGAACAGGAUUAGAUACCCUGGUAGUCCAUGCCGUAAACGUUGGGCACUAGGUGUGGGGGACAUUCCACGUUUUCCGCGCCGUAGCUAACGCAUUAAGUGCCCCGCCUGGGGAGUACGGCCGCAAGGCUAAAACUCAAAGGAAUUGACGGGGGCCCGCACAAGCGGCGGAGCAUGCGGAUUAAUUCGAUGCAACGCGAAGAACCUUACCAAGGCUUGACAUGAACCGGAAUGAUGCAGAGAUGUGUCAGCCACUUGUGGCCGGUUUACAGGUGGUGCAUGGUUGUCGUCAGCUCGUGUCGUGAGAUGUUGGGUUAAGUCCCGCAACGAGCGCAACCCUCGUUCCAUGUUGCCAGCGGGUUAUGCCGGGGACUCAUGGGAGACUGCCGGGGUCAACUCGGAGGAAGGUGGGGACGACGUCAAAUCAUCAUGCCCCUUAUGUCUUGGGCUUCACGCAUGCUACAAUGGCCGGUACAAAGGGUUGCGAUACUGUGAGGUGGAGCUAAUCCCAAAAAGCCGGUCUCAGUUCGGAUUGAGGUCUGCAACUCGACCUCAUGAAGUUGGAGUCGCUAGUAAUCGCAGAUCAGCAACGCUGCGGUGAAUACGUUCCCGGGCCUU